This 424-nucleotide ribosomal RNA is filed under the name uncultured Gammaproteobacteria bacterium. RNAcentral's name for it is "uncultured gamma proteobacterium partial 16S ribosomal RNA". It matches the Rfam family "Bacterial small subunit ribosomal RNA", at positions 355 to 774 of the family's 1533-position model. Lineage: Bacteria; Pseudomonadati; Pseudomonadota; Gammaproteobacteria. The record is from RNAcentral.
UGGGGAAUAUUGGACAAUGGGGGCAACCCUGAUCCAGCGAUGCCGCGUGUGUGAAGAAGGCCUGCGGGUUGUAAAGCACUUUAGUUGGGGAGGAGAGUUUAUUUAGAAAUAGAUAGACGAGACGUUACCCAAAGAAUAAGCACCGGCUAACUCUGUGCCAGCAGCCGCGGUAAUACAGAGGGUGCAAGCGUUAAUCGGAAUGAUUGGGCGUAAAGGGCACGUAGGUUGGUAAAUAAGUUAAGUGUAAAAUGCCUAGGCUUAACCUGGGUGGGUCAUUUAAGACUGUUUAUCUAGAGUAUGGGAGAGGGGGAUAGAAUUUCCGGUGUAGCGGUGAAAUGCGUAGAUAUCGGAAGGAAUACCCGUGGCGAAGGCGAUCCUCUGGCCUGAUACUGACACUGAGGUGCGAAAGCGUGGGGAGCAAACA